AUGGCUAAUGACUCUGGAGUGUCCUCUCUUUAUAUCCUGCAUGUUGUAAUGGAUUAUGUCAUCAGAAAAUCAUCUUUUUCUACAGAGAGAGCUGAAGAUACUGAGGCUCGGGGCAAGCAAAAGGCAGGACUAAGAUGGAAACUCCACUCUUUCAACUCUAAUGACAGAUUUUUCCAUGACUCCACAAUGUUCUCUGAGGGUAAGUCAGGCUAUGCCACUUUUUCUCUGCUAAUCUUUCAUCUAUGGGCCCAUGUGGCCAAGUGUUCUCUUUCUCUUAUGGAAUAGGAGAUGGAAACCUCAAUGAAUUAGUUGAUGGCUCUCAGACAGGAGGGUAUAUGCUUGGGGAAAGUGAGGCUCUUCAGAUUGAUUAUCUCAGAAUUUAGAUUCCAGAGAAAAAGAAGGCAAUAAGAAAUACUAUAGUUUUGCCUCGUCUAUAGAGUUUCAAGGAAUCAGAGCAUCUGGUUCAGAAUAUUUGAGGUUGUUCUUUGCCAACUCCUAGGCUGCAGAGUUUCUCAACACAUGGGCUGCAGACGAUGUAGUUCAGAAUCUCUGGGUCUUAAAAAAAAAUGCAUAUUCUCUAUAAAUACUCCUUCCAUAGGAGAUCAAAACCUCUGUGGUUAGGACCUGAGAAUGUGAAUUUUAAUGACCUCUGCAGGUUAUGAUGCAAAAUACAGCUUUGUUACUGAAGGUGGGAUCUGGCUGCUUGAUUCUCUAAAACCACUAAAGAAGCAAGACUGGAAAGGAAAGUUUGCUUUAUUUCAGAUGCUGGCAACUGGGUAGGUGGAGAGUGGACUUCUAUCCAAAUGCCAGUUCCCCCCACCACUGACAAUCAGUGGGCAAAAGUUUUUAUAGGUAGAGAGAGAGGGCUAUGUGCAUCAGCAGCACACUCAGCUCUGACAGUCAUCUUGAAAUUGGUCAUGUGGUAUCUGAUUAGUAUCAUCUUGAUUUUGUUAAGUACAGUUAAUCUUCAGUUCCAGGGUCAGUUUGUUCCCAUUUCUUUGAGGCCGGUUCUCAGAAUCAUGGCAGCUGAUGUCAUGGCUACAGUCUGGUCACCAUGUAGUUAACUUCUUCCAUCUGGUGGGGGUUUCAGUAUCUACAAGAGGGCUCACAGGACAUGGCUCAGAAUAUUAUCUAUUGCCCUUGAGAAGGAACUAAAGGUACUUGACUUUGCUUAAUCACUAAACUCUUAUUAUUUGGUCUCAUUUGACUGUUUUCCUUUGCUUCUGUAUUUUCUCAUUUUUAUAAUUAAACUUAUUCUUUGGCUAAAGUUUUCCCCCAGAUGAAAGGCAGGUGGAGGACAUGGUGGGGGAAGGACCAUAGGGUCCUGCUCCAUUUCAUUUUGGGAUCCAUUAAUAAGAAACAUCAAUAAUGGCAUUUAUUGAGUACCCACUUUGGCAAACAGCCAAUCAGACACGGCUAUUUAUUGUUUAAUCUGAACACCUUUAUGAGAACCAUUUUCAUUUUCUUAGUGAGGAGCUGAGAUUCAGGAAGCUUAAGUACCCUUUCAAACUCAACUGGCCCUUGAGUAAUACACCUGGGAUUCCUUCCUUGCCUUCCUUCCAGCCGUCUUCCUUCCUCAGCACCAGAUUAAGUGAGGAGAGUGGGAGGGUUCCAUGUUGAUCCCUCCAUCCUGCUAGAUAGCCCAUGUAAAUAGGUUUUCUGGGUUUAUUAGGAAUUUGGGCAUGUAGUUUAAGAAAAGGUACUCAGAAAAAAACUAUAUGAUGUGAAUGGACUGAAGAGAAUCACACAUAAAAACAGUCCUGUCAAAUUCUUCAUACUCUAGGAUUUCCCAUUGUGGCUCAGCUGGUUAAAAACCUCACAUAGAGUCUGUGAGAAUGAGGGUUUGAUCCCUUGCCUUGCUCAGUGCAUUAAGGAUCUGGCAUUGCCACAAGUUGAAGUGUAGGUCACAGAUGCAGCUCAAAUCCGGUGUUGUCAUGGCUGUGAUGUAGGCCUCAGCUGAAGUUCUGAUUCAACCCUGUAAAAAGAAAACAGAAAAAAUUUGUUUUCAUAUUCUAGCUUUGGGGUUGCAGCAGGAUUUCUCAACUUCAGGGCUAUUGAUGUUUGAGAUCUGGUAAAUUGUUAUGGGGGACUGUCCUGUGCAUUGCAGAAUAUUUAGCAACAUCCCUGGGCUCUACCCAACAGAUGCCAAUAGCAACUCCUCCUCCCCUCCAGUGGUGAUAACCAAAAAUGUGUGCAGAUACUGCCAAAUGACUACUGGAGGAAAAAAAAAUCAUCCUGGUGGAGAACUGGGUUGAAAAAAAAAUCAUCCUGGUGGAGAACUGGGUUGAAAAAAAAAAUUUUCGUAAAAGCCCAUCCUGGUGGCUUUGCUGAUAGAGAAUUUUACCUAUGCCUGGAAACAGGGAACGAGGCCUUGUCCAGAGGGGAAAUUCCAGUGUGUUCAGGUCUGCUUGACACCAGUCCUUAGAGUGCAUGUUUAGGUUGGCCCCUUCCUUUAGGUGGGGCCUCACCUCAGGGAAUAGAGGAGAGAAGGAAAAUAGAUAUACAAAAAUCUGACCUUGAAUCAGGGCUGACAGAGCAACAGAGUAGCAGAAGAUGCACCAGGGGCAAGCUCUUGCUUGGCAUUGAGAUUGUCUUUUUUUGGAAGUAAUUAAAAAAAAACCAAAAACAGAAUCAUUUCAUCUGAGUUGGGAAAGCAGUAAAUAAUUAAGCUAAUUUGUUUGUGUAUGUGGUUCAAAGAAGCCUCCAGAAACCAUGGUCCCUAAUUCUAAAUGGAGAAGCUGAGAAGGAAGGCAAAGCCUCAUCAGUGUAAUGUACUAGAUGGUGGGGCUGAGAAAGGGCUGACUUGAAUUAUUCAUCUUUGACAUCUGGAAGGUCAAUUUGGUGUUUACAACUUGAUUAUAUUUCAGAUUAGCAUACACUUUGUUGUCAAAUGUUUCUAAGGCCACAAUUAACUAUUUAAGCACUCUGCAAAUUACUUAAAUCCAUGACUAACAAGUAUUCAACUUAGACUGGGUACAGCAGCAACACGUUGAUCUUUAUUUCUUACAUAUUCUCUCUGACCGAACCAAGUUUUCACAUCUUGCCUUUUUUUUUCCUUUUCUCAUUUAUUUAUUAGAUUUUAGUUAUUUUUCCUCUUUUGAUCCUUUACCUGUUUUCCACAUUUACAUCCAUUGUUCCUCAUUAGAUAUUCUGUAGCAUCCAGGGGUUUCCUAGCCACUGGUCUUUGGUGCCUUAAGUCUUCUGGGUCCUUGAAACCCUUGAAAUCAUCUGCCACAUUUUGUGAGGAUGGACCUGCUUCCCUCAUCACAGCAGGACCUUAGACACCCUCAGAUUCCCAAAAGAUCUCGACCUAAAAACGGUAAAGUCCGCUGAGGGACAUCUGCUCCAGACUUUCAGCACAGAAGGAGGAGAGCAUGUGUAGGCUCUUUGCUCUGUUUCCUCAUUUAACCCCCUCCCAGACUCUGUAUGACAUUGGCGAUGUUGUUUUUAAUGGAUAGUUGAGAAUGUAAAAGCUUGGAGAGAUUUGGUAGUCACCAAGGUGAUCCUGCUUUCAAGGGGCUCAAUGGUCAGAAUUUAAGUGGCCCUUUUCAAGAUUGACUCAAAAGCCUCUUUCCAAGCCUCCAAUAAGAUUGGGCAGUUGAUAAUUGUGCUAAAGUAGAGAAGACAGAGGACAUGGAGGCAGAGCUCAUAACCCCAUGCCAUCCUCAAAGGCAUGAGAAGUAGGACUCAAAUGAACUGUGAUUAGUUUCUUGGGAAGAAGGAUUAUCGAAACAAGGACACUCUGCAUUACAUUAAUAUAAUACUUUAGCAGCUUGCACUACUGUUUGUACUCUCUGAAUGCUAUGCUAACAGAAGUGCUGUGCUAACAUAAAAGGCUGAUUUCAAUAGAUAUUAAUCAUAAUUCAGUUUUACUAAUUUGUAGAAAACUCAGUUUUUAACAUUUAAACUCUUACAAAUAUUCAUUUAUGACCAAUGAACCAUCCAGUAUAAAUGAAUGGCAAGUUUUAAAAUAGUUAACUUUGAAAUUGUAAUUUCAAUAAUGAUCUCAUUUAUAUUGAGUGCCUACUACUCCCUGCCAUAAAUAAAAAGUUUAUUAGAAUGUGGUCA
RNAcentral lists this long non-coding RNA (4068 nucleotides) under Sus scrofa (pig). RNAcentral describes it as "lncRNA (ENSSSCG00070008726.1)". Lineage: Eukaryota; Metazoa; Chordata; Mammalia; Artiodactyla; Suidae. The record is from RNAcentral.